GAUGAAGAACGCAGCGAAAUGCGAUACUUGGUGUGAAUUGCAGAAUCCCGUGAACCAUCGAGUCUUUGAACGCAAGUUGCGCCCGAAGCCACUAGGCCGAGGGCACGCCUGCCUGGGCGUCACACGUCGUUGCCCCCCCAUCUACUCCUUCGGGAUUGCGGGGGGGCGGAUGAUGGCCUCCCGUGCGCCUAGCCGCGCGGUUGGCAUAAAUACCAAGUCCUCGGCGACGCACGCCACGACACUCGGUGGUUGCGAAACCUCGGUUGCCCGUCGUGUGCGUUCGUCGCGCAUCGAGGGCUCGAAAAAAUGCUCGGCUCCGGCUGGGCUUUCAACGCGACCCCAGGUCAGGCGGGGUUACCCGCUGAAUUUAAGCAUAUCAAUAAGCGGAGGA
Molecule: unclassified non-coding RNA, 391 nt
Filed under: soil metagenome
Description: partial contains 5.8S ribosomal RNA, internal transcribed spacer 2, and large subunit ribosomal RNA
Rfam family: 5.8S ribosomal RNA (bases 1-122)
Source: RNAcentral